This is an unclassified non-coding RNA of Chelonoidis abingdonii (Abingdon island giant tortoise), 166 nucleotides long. Lineage: Eukaryota; Metazoa; Chordata; Testudines; Testudinidae. The record is from Ensembl.
UUGAACCAGGGUUCCUAUUUAUUUACAAAACAAGUACAUCAUAGGCUCUUGCAACUGCAAGUUUCCCACACUGCCUUGUCAAUGCUCUGCAACUUUGUUCUGAAGGGAUCAUCUUUACUGGUGAGAGAGUAGUUCAGUCUCCAUGCUCAUUCAGCCACUGACCUUU